CUUUCAUUUCCUUCAAAGGAACCCGAUCAUGAGGCCUUUUUGGCCCUGAUACGCAAGGUUCCACAUCCUCAAGAUUCAAUUCUAGAUAUGAGGAGUAUACCCUAUCAAUCUGGGGCUCACCAUAGUCAACAAACAUCUUGUUAGCUCUUAAAUAGGAUUCUAUCAUAGAGACAGUUUCAUCACUUCUGCCGGUCAAUUUGAGAUAAUGCAGAGUAACAUGAUCCACAGGAAAAAAGCCCAUGGUUGCACCAUACUCAGGAGACAUGUUUGCAAUAGUAGCACGGUCUGCUAAUGAUAGUUCACCCAUGCCUUCGCCAUAGAACUCCACAAACUUGCCAACAACCCC
Molecule: unclassified non-coding RNA, 346 nt
Filed under: Hevea brasiliensis (rubber tree)
Lineage: Eukaryota; Viridiplantae; Streptophyta; Magnoliopsida; Malpighiales; Euphorbiaceae
Source: RNAcentral